RNAcentral lists this long non-coding RNA (600 nucleotides) under Olea europaea (common olive). RNAcentral describes it as "long non-coding RNA (OEUR_LNC003015)". Lineage: Eukaryota; Viridiplantae; Streptophyta; Magnoliopsida; Lamiales; Oleaceae. The record is from RNAcentral.
UUUAGUCGAUUAACUUGCUAUUAAUCUGUUGUUCUAUGUGAACAUGCUUUGAAAAGAUUUAUGUGUUAUCUUAUGUUAUAUCUGCAUCACAUAUUUAUUUGCUCUUGAUUAUUUACUGUUAUUAUCUGCUUCUAUUUGGGAGUUUUUUGACCUUAGCCCUAACGAGUACAUGGAGCAGGUAUGGUAUGUGUUUUGGAUUCGAAAUAUGAGGUAAGGUUUGUGAUCAUAAUUUUAUUGAUUGCCUUGAUUAUGCAAGUAUUAACUUUGUGUUUUGAUUGCUUGCAGGUUGAUUGAGCAUCAAUGUGGAAAUUUGUUAGUUUUUGAUGUGCAAUGAAUCUCGGGUUAUAAUGCAAACAUGACUUUAAUUUCUUAGGAAAUUAAUGCUACUCAUAAACAAAGUAGACCAUUAGAAGUAAUUUAGGAAAUUAAUGCUACUCAUAACCCAUAUAUAUUUUAUCUAUUGGAUAUCUUUGAAUAUUAACCCAUUUAACCAUUUUAUUGGUCCAACUAAAACCUAACAUAUCCUAUGUAUAUGUUGUAUUUGCCUUGACCGUUUAGUAUGUGAUUUGUGUAUGAAAGUGGGGAAAAGUAAUAACUAGC